AACGAACGCUGGCGGCGCGCCUAACACAUGCAAGUCGAACGAGAAUCCGGGGCAACCCGGUAGUAAAGUGGCAAACGGGUGAGGAAUACAUGGGUAACCUACCCUUGAGAAGGGAAUAACCCGCCGAAAGGUGAGCUAAUACCCUAUACGCUAUCUUUUUUCGUAAAGGAAUAGGAAAGACCGGGUCGGAGGACCUGGUACGUCAAGGAGGGGCGUCAUGUCCUAUCAGCUUGUUGGUGGGGUAACGGGCCUACCAAGGCUACGACGGGUAGCUGGUCUGAGAGGAUGAUCAGCCACACUGGCACUGAGAUACGGGCCAGACUCCUACGGGAGGCAGCAGUGAGGAAUAUUGCGCAAUGGGCGAAAGCCUGACGCAGCGACGCCGCGU
Molecule: ribosomal RNA, 388 nt
Filed under: uncultured bacterium
Lineage: Bacteria
Description: bacterial SSU rRNA
Rfam family: Bacterial small subunit ribosomal RNA
Source: RNAcentral